This is a long non-coding RNA of Pectinophora gossypiella (pink bollworm), 2857 nucleotides long. RefSeq lists it as uncharacterized. The record is from RefSeq and is a predicted model, not a curated record. Lineage: Eukaryota; Metazoa; Arthropoda; Insecta; Lepidoptera; Gelechiidae. The transcript is spliced from 3 exons.
AAAAACUAAACAAAAUGGUCUUAUGGUCUCGUUCUGUGGUCUCGUUGCCGAGAAGUUCUCUUGAUAAUUUCCUGUGCUACUUUGUUAGAAUUUGUAGCUUACAAGUUCACCGUGCGAGAGCGUCGACAUUCUACUGUAAAAACUUCCAGAGCCAUUGUGUGUUUUGGAUAGAGCCGAUAUGAUAAAAAGUUUGUGGAUAAUGUUCGUUGAUAAAUUGCAAUGUGUGAAUGCUGAUCGACUUUGUCAUACUAACUCAUACUCAUACUAAGAGAUGUAAGCAACAAUAACAAGUUUCCUGAAGAAUGUUCCAAUCGGACAGUUGGAAACAAUUAUGUCUGUAUAAGUUGUGGAAUAUCUUUGGGAAAGCAGUCACGAAGAUAAAAUCACAGGCCAUGGGCUUAUGGAAAGAAGUGAAGAGUGGUAUUAUAUAGAAAAACAAUCUCCGAGAUAGAUGCCUGAUGGAUGCCCAUGUAUGCAUUGUUUGCAGGAUGAGCUCACCUCAAAAGCAUUAAUAUCUAGUGAACAUAAAAGCUGUGUGUGUUGUUGCAAUGUAUAUAGUUCUAUUUAUUAACCCCCGACGCAAAAUUGUGUAUAUGUGUCUAUCUGUAGCAUCGUAGCUCCCAAACGGAUGAUCCGAUUUUAAUAUGUUUUUUUUUUGUUUGUAAGUUAUAUUAGUCGAGAGUGUUCUUAGCUAUGUUUGGUAGAAAUCGGUUCAGGUCUUCAAGGUCAUCAGAGAUGUUUGUUAAGUGUGAUAGGAAUGUUACACGCUCAGUUUGCUUGCAAGCAUAGGUAUGUGGGAUAAGUUAUUUUUUGCUUUUUAUAGGGUUUUUUUCACCUUUUUUCAUAAUAAUUGAGUACUUUUGUUUUGUCGGGGUUUUUUUUUGUUCAUAGAUGUUGGUAAACUAUGAGUUUAUAUCACUUUAUAAUUAUUAUAAUUUAUAUCAUUAAAUCAUUAAAUAGAUAAAAACCUGUGUAUAUUUUAAUGUUAUUGUUAAGUUUAUUCUCUACCUACUUACUAAUAUGUUACCAUAUUAAGUCUGUUCAAAAAUCAUAAAUAGGUACUUGUUCUUCUUCUAUCAUGUAGGUUGUGAAGUGGAUGACCAACCUCAACCAGGGUUAUUGCUGAGCCGCCAAUGUCGUUGGAUCAGCCAGCAAUGUCCUAACUGAAUCAGGGAUCACAAAGAAAUUUUUGUGUUUUGUCCCCACCGGGACUUGAACCUGGGACCUCCGGAAUGUUAGCCACUGGACCACAUAGGCCGAGAGUAUAUGGUUAAGUUGCUGUUUUAUUUCAACUAUUUAAUUAAAUGUAGGAAUAUUUUGUAUGAGUAUGAAUUAUAUAAUAAAACAAAUUAUUUCUAAAAAUAUAUCUUUCAUUAUGUUUUUAAUAAAAUUGUUUCUUUUUAAAAUUAUUUUGAAAAAUAAAAUAGUAAUCACGUCGUUUAGCACCACUUCAACUGAUAGGAUCUCACAAUCAAUGUUUUUUGUGGUAUCAAAAUUGUUAGUUAAAUUUAAUUUUUGACCUCUUGGGACCAGAUUUUCACAUCAAACAUCCUUUGGUGGUCUUUAUUGGUCUAAAUGCAAGACAAAUAUAAUUAUAGAAUCUAUAGGUACCAAUGAGGGACUUUCCAGGCUAGGUUCUCAAAAAAAAUACAGAUGGCGCUGUCCAGAUUUAACAUGAUGUGUUAUUGGUGCUGAUUCCAGUACACACUGUCUAAGUUUAUUUGAAGUUAUACCUGUCAUUUUAUUAUCAGGUGACGGGUAAACGACAGGCUUAAAAUUUAUGGAAUAGGUUCACAAUAAUUUUAGUCAGAAAUUAAAAAAACCCAGCAAAAGUUGACAGCACACAUGUCACCGGCGAUAGAAAUAUGUUAUGCGAAAUAAAAGUUGCUCCAGGUUUUAUAGUUUUGCCAGGCCGUAGGGUGUCUCCCUGAUGCGAAGCAUGUCACCGGCGAUAGAAUUUGACCAAGAUUUAAAUAGGUCUCGGGGCGUAGUGUGUCUCCGUGACGAGGAGCAGUUUUCGAAGACCGGGAAGUAAUUCCGUACUCUACAUGACGUUCCGAUCACACCUCCCAUACAUCAUUUUUAGCCCCGAGGCUUUUUCUGUAUAAGGGAAAUUUUGUAUGGCGGCCAUCUUGUUUUUCGGCCAUUUUGUUUUUUUUCACCGGGGAUAAAAUUUGACCAAGAUUUAAAUAGGUUUCGUGAAAAAAAUAUUGCUCCAGGUAUUAUAGUUUUGCCAGGCCGUAGGGUGUCUCCCUGAUGCGGAGCAGUUUUUCAAGAUCGAGCAGUAUUGAAAUACUCAACAUGACGAUCCGAUCACAUCCCUAUACAUAAUUUUUACCCCCGAGACAUUUUCUGGAAAAACAAAAUUUUGUAUAGCGGCCAUCUUGUUUUUCGGCCAUUUUGUUUUUUUUCACCGGGGAUAAAAUUUGACCAAGAUUUAAAUAGGUUUCGUGAAAAAAAUAUUGCUCCAGGUAUUAUAGUUUUGCCAGGCCGUAGGGUGUCUCCGUCUCCCUGAUGCGGAGCAGUUUUUCAAGAUCGAGCAGUAUUGAAAUACUCAACAUGACGAUCCGAUCACAUCCCUAUACAUAAUUUUUACCCCCGAGACAUUUUCUGGAAAAACAAAAUUUUGUAUAGCGGCCAUCUUGUUUUUCCGCCAUUUUGUUUUUUUUUCACCGGCGAUAAAAUUUGACCAAGAUUUAAAUAGGUCUAGUGGAAAAAGAAUAGUUCCAGGUGUGAUAGUUUUUCCAGGCCGUAGAGUGUCUCCCUGAUGCGGAGCAGUUUUUCAAGAUGGAGCAGUAUUGAAAUACUCAACAUGACGAUCCGAUCACAUUCCUAUACAUAAUUUUCACGCCCGAGG